RNAcentral lists this ribosomal RNA (261 nucleotides) under uncultured Eubacteriales bacterium. RNAcentral's name for it is "uncultured Clostridiales bacterium partial 16S ribosomal RNA". It matches the Rfam family "Bacterial small subunit ribosomal RNA", at positions 524 to 785 of the family's 1533-position model. The record is from RNAcentral. Lineage: Bacteria; Bacillati; Bacillota; Clostridia; Eubacteriales.
UACGUAAGGUCCGAGCGUUGUCCGGAAUCAUUGGGCGUAAAGGGUACGUAGGCGGAUAAGCAAGUUAGAAGUGAAAUCCUAUAGCUCAACUAUAGUAAGCUUUUAAAACUGCUCAUCUUGAGGUAUGGAAGGGAAAGUGGAAUUCCUAGUGUAGCGGUGAAAUGCGCAGAUAUUAGGAGGAAUACCGGUGGCGAAGGCGACUUUCUGGCCAUAAACUGACGCUGAGGUACGAAAGCGUGGGUAGCAAACAGGAUUAGAUAC